This is a non-coding RNA of Clostridium chauvoei JF4335, 353 nucleotides long. NCBI's taxonomy places the organism in Bacteria, Bacillati, Bacillota, Clostridia, Eubacteriales, Clostridiaceae. The record is from Rfam.
GGGGGCGUUUUGGCUUCGACGGGGGUAAGAUGGGUUUGAUAAGCGGGUGGAGGCAAGCAUGUCACCUCCUUAAUAAAGUAUGCAUUAAAGAUAAACGCAGAAGACAAUUUUGCAUUAGCAGCUUAAUAUAAGCUACUCAUCAGUCCGGGAUGCCCACGUUUCGGGUAGCUGGUGUCAUAGAGUGGGAAACGAAGUCUAACAAAGCUUUGAGUUAGAGGGGUAUUUAUGAAGCUAGGAAAUAGGAAGUUUGUUUGUGAGCAACCUAGGACCGAAACCUUAAUCACAAACUACACUCGUAGAAAUUCAGAUUGGUCUGCUUUCGGACACGGGUUCGACACCCGUCGCCUCCACCA